GGGGCAUUAGCUCAGUUGGGAGAGCGCAUGACUGGCAGUCAUGAGGUCAGGAGUUCGAGCCUCCUAUGCUCCACCA
RNAcentral lists this transfer RNA (76 nucleotides) under Candidatus Cloacimonadota bacterium. RNAcentral describes it as "Candidatus Cloacimonetes bacterium tRNA-Ala". It matches the Rfam family "tRNA". Rfam says of the family: Transfer RNA (tRNA) molecules are approximately 80 nucleotides in length. Their secondary structure includes four short double-helical elements and three loops (D, anti-codon, and T loops). Further hydrogen bonds mediate the characteristic L-shaped molecular structure. tRNAs have two regions of fundamental functional importance: the anti-codon, which is responsible for specific mRNA codon recognition, and the 3' end, to which the tRNAs corresponding amino acid is attached (by aminoacyl-tRNA synthetases). tRNAs cope with the degeneracy of the genetic code in two manners: having more than one tRNA (with a specific anti-codon) for a particular amino acid; and 'wobble' base-pairing, i.e. permitting non-standard base-pairing at the 3rd anti-codon position. The record is from RNAcentral. RNAcentral also lists the same sequence under 3 other names. Lineage: Bacteria; Pseudomonadati; Candidatus Cloacimonadota.